CUGCUUCUAAGGUUUCCAUUACAGAUGCAAGAAGAAAGUUUCCUCGUGCUUUCUCUCGGUGGCAGCCAAGAUUGAAUAGGGGAACACAGAG
Molecule: small nucleolar RNA, 91 nt
Filed under: Nannospalax galili (Upper Galilee mountains blind mole rat)
Lineage: Eukaryota; Metazoa; Chordata; Mammalia; Rodentia; Spalacidae
Description: Small nucleolar RNA SNORA31 (ENSNGAG00000007072.1)
Source: RNAcentral